Molecule: non-coding RNA, 252 nt
Organism: Vicia faba (fava bean)
Lineage: Eukaryota; Viridiplantae; Streptophyta; Magnoliopsida; Fabales; Fabaceae
Source: the annotation of a GenBank genome assembly
AUGGAUUGUUUUGACGGUUCAAGGGGUAUUGAAGGCAGCAUAAGCAUAAGGCACCAACUUGUUUUUUUUGUUGUUUUGGUGGUUACAAGUUGGACAGGUUUUGUGCAAGUUUUGAUGGCUACAAGUUGGAAAAUGGAUUGGGACAAGGCAUGGGAAGCAAAACAAAGGAAUAUUUUGGAUAUUGGUGCAACAAGGCAAAGUUGGUUGCAUAGUUUUCCAUAUUGGCAUGAAGAAAAUAUUCUUGGAGAUUGA